UUCAACAACGGAUCUCUUGGUUCUGGCAUCGAUGAAGAACGCAGCGAAAUGCGAUAAGUAAUGUGAAUUGCAGAAUUCAGUGAAUCAUCGAAUCUUUGAACGCACAUUGCGCCCGUCAAUAUUCUGGCGGGCAUGCCUGUUCGAGCGUCAUUACGCCC
RNAcentral lists this ribosomal RNA (158 nucleotides) under Metarhizium anisopliae. RNAcentral's name for it is "5.8S ribosomal RNA". It matches the Rfam family "5.8S ribosomal RNA". Rfam says of the family: 5.8S ribosomal RNA (5.8S rRNA) is a component of the large subunit of the eukaryotic ribosome. It is transcribed by RNA polymerase I as part of the 45S precursor that also contains 18S and 28S rRNA. Lineage: Eukaryota; Fungi; Ascomycota; Sordariomycetes; Hypocreales; Clavicipitaceae. The record is from RNAcentral.